AUACCCUACUAUMCUAAAAUUAUCUUAGGUAGUAUUAUUUUAUAUAAGAAACCUAUGUAGUUUGGCGGCAUUUAAUCAUCUUAGAGGAAUCUGUCUCUUAAUCGACAUUCCACGAUAUUUUUUACUUUUAUUUAUAUCUUAUAUACCUCCAUCUUAAGGAUUAUUAUGUAUAAUCUCCCCUUAAUAGAAUUCUAAUAAGUUAGGUAAAGGUGUAGAACAUAUAAAAGAUGAGAUGGAUUACAUUAAAUAUUAUUUAAGGAAAUUUAAUAAAAUUUUUAUUAGAAAAAGGAUUUAUUAGUAAUUUAAAAAUAUUAUUUUUUAAUGAAUAAGAUAAAAAAUGUGC
RNAcentral lists this ribosomal RNA (343 nucleotides) under Cyclosa conica. Its description in RNAcentral is "partial 12S ribosomal RNA". Lineage: Eukaryota; Metazoa; Arthropoda; Arachnida; Araneae; Araneidae. The record is from RNAcentral.